RNAcentral lists this ribosomal RNA (705 nucleotides) under uncultured Pantoea sp. RNAcentral's name for it is "bacterial SSU rRNA". It matches the Rfam family "Bacterial small subunit ribosomal RNA", at positions 1 to 696 of the family's 1533-position model. Lineage: Bacteria; Pseudomonadati; Pseudomonadota; Gammaproteobacteria; Enterobacterales; Erwiniaceae. The record is from RNAcentral.
AAUUGAAGAGUUUGAUCAUGGCUCAGAUUGAACGCUGGCGGCAGGCCUAACACAUGCAAGUCGGACGGUAGCACAGAGGAGCUUGCUCCUUGGGUGACGAGUGGCGGACGGGUGAGUAAUGUCUGGGGAUCUGCCCGAUAGAGGGGGAUAACCACUGGAAACGGUGGCUAAUACCGCAUAACGUCGCAAGACCAAAGAGGGGGACCUUCGGGCCUCUCACUAUCGGAUGAACCCAGAUGGGAUUAGCUAGUAGGCGGGGUAAUGGCCCACCUAGGCGACGAUCCCUAGCUGGUCUGAGAGGAUGACCAGCCACACUGGAACUGAGACACGGUCCAGACUCCUACGGGAGGCAGCAGUGGGGAAUAUUGCACAAUGGGCGCAAGCCUGAUGCAGCCAUGCCGCGUGUAUGAAGAAGGCCUUCGGGUUGUAAAGUACUUUCAGCGGGGAGGAAGGCGAUGUGGUUAAUAACCGCAUCGAUUGACGUUACCCGCAGAAGAAGCACCGGCUAACUCCGUGCCAGCAGCCGCGGUAAUACGGAGGGUGCAAGCGUUAAUCGGAAUUACUGGGCGUAAAGCGCACGCAGGCGGUCUGUUAAGUCAGAUGUGAAAUCCCCGGGCUUAACCUGGGAACUGUAUUUGAAACUGGCAGGCUUGAGUCUUGUAGAGGGGGGUAGAAUUCCAGGUGUAGCGGUGAAAUGCGUAGAGA